CCUACGGGUGGCAGCAGUGAGGAAUAUUGGUCAAUGGACGAGAGUCUGAACCAGCCAAGUAGCGUGAAGGAUGACUGCCCUAUGGGUUGUAAACUUCUUUUAUAUGGGAAUAAAACGUUCCACGUGUGGGAUUUUGUAUGUACCAUAUGAAUAAGGAUCGGCUAACUCCGUGCCAGCAGCCGCGGUAAUACGGAGGAUCCGAGCGUUAUCCGGAUUUAUUGGGUUUAAAGGGAGCGUAGGUGGAUUGUUAAGUCAGUUGUGAAAGUUUGCGGCUCAACCGUAAAAUUGCAGUUGAAACUGGCAGUCUUGAGUACAGUAGAGGGGGGCGGAAUUCAUGGUGUAGCGGUGAAAUGCUUAGAGAUCACGAAGAACUCCGAUUGCGAAGGCAGUUCACUGGACUGCAACUGACACUGAGGCUCGAAAGUGUGGGUAUCAAACAGGAUUAGAUACCCCGGUAGUC
Molecule: ribosomal RNA, 460 nt
Filed under: uncultured bacterium
Lineage: Bacteria
Description: partial 16S ribosomal RNA
Rfam family: Bacterial small subunit ribosomal RNA
Source: RNAcentral